This 873-nucleotide long non-coding RNA is filed under the name Marmota monax (woodchuck). The record is from RNAcentral. Lineage: Eukaryota; Metazoa; Chordata; Mammalia; Rodentia; Sciuridae.
AGCUCCUGGCUGAAAUAGGCAGUGUCUGAAUUUUAUGUGGGGUGGGGUGGGCCCAGCCUGGGUAUUAGGAGUGCCUUGAAGGCCUUGUGCUCAAUUUUGAUCUCCACAGGGUCCAUUCCUUUAGCUAUUUGCAAACAGUCCUUCAUCCUUCUUCACUUUUACAGGAGUGAUGACAUUUCAGGAAUCACUCAACUACCAUGUAAAAUAGGAGGGGGACUGGACUGAUUUCAUGAUAAGCCUCUUUUGGGAUCUCAAAUUCUCUGAAUCUAUUCUGAAUCCAAUCCCCUCUCUAACUCAUUUGGCAUUUACUGAGCACCUACUAUGUGGCCAGCACUGCUCUAUACUUGAUUCUGCCUUCAUGGAGCUCAAAGUGAAGGAAGAGAGCAAAUAUAUAUCAGAAAUAUUUCAUUUUAUCUUGAGUGCCCUCCCUCCAAUCACUCUGCCUGGCAACAGAAUUUUAGUUUUCACCGACGGAAAUCAUCAGGGUUUUUUUUGUUUAUACACUGAUCUUGCUCCUUCCUCAGCCAGGAGCUGGUUUCAUUGGUUGCUGCAGCCCUAUGGUCUAGCCAUAGUGCCAGGCAUACAUAGGUAUUUGGAAAACAGGCAUGAAAUGAGCCAGGAAAUAAAUGAUGGAGCCAAGAUAGCUCACACGGCAUGCAGGACCUCGUGGAAUCCUCGGGGUGUCAUUAUCCACUUAGCAGAUGAGGAAAUUGAGGCUGACGAAGGCAAAGCGGCUUGCGGGGUCCCAACGUAGCUACGUGGUAUAUGGCUGUGGGAUACACCAGUAGAAGCAAAGGCAGCCCCUAAAAGCAUUCCCAGUUUUCCCUAGCCGCAACCCACAAGAGCAAGACACAGCAGGGAUGCACUGAUGGG